Molecule: ribosomal RNA, 495 nt
Filed under: uncultured bacterium
Lineage: Bacteria
Description: partial 16S ribosomal RNA
Rfam family: Bacterial small subunit ribosomal RNA
Source: RNAcentral
GACGAACGCUGGCGGCGUGCCUAAUACAUGCAAGUAGAACGCUGAAGGAGGAGCUUGCUUCUCUGGAUGAGUUGCGAACGGGUGAGUAACGCGUAGGUAACCUGCCUGGUAGCGGGGGAUAACUAUUGGAAACGAUAGCUAAUACCGCAUAAGAGUAGAUGUCGCAUGACAUUUGCUUAAAAGGUGCAAUUGCAUCACUACCAGAUGGACCUGCGUUGUAUUAGCUAGUUGGUGAGGUAACGGCUCACCAAGGCAACGAUACAUAGCCGACCUGAGAGGGUGAUCGGCCACACUGGGACUGAGGCACGGCCCAGACUCCUACGGGAGGCAGCAGUAGGGAAUCUUCGGCAAUGGACGGAAGUCUGACCGAGCAACGCCGCGUGAGUGAAGAAGGUUUUCGGAUCGUAAAGCUCUGUUGUAAGAGAAGAACGAGUGUGAGAGUGGAAAGUUCACACUGUGACGGUACCUUACCAGAAAGGGACGGCUAACUACGUG